AUGAAGCUGAGCAGCCUGUCUCUACUCUCUGUGACUGUCCUCCUUGGCCUCCGCAUGGUUCAGCCUGGAAUCCUGAAGAGUGUCUGCACCGAAACCUGGAUAUUGCCCAGAGUUUACUCUAUCCUGCCCUUUCACCCUCUUACCUGUGUGCUGGCACGAUAAAGCCUGCAUGGGGGUCGAGAAGUAUUGCUUCUUCAACUGUCAACAUCAGUGUACAGAGCCCUGGUGGACUUUGGAUUGA
Molecule: small RNA, 241 nt
Filed under: Pongo abelii (Sumatran orangutan)
Lineage: Eukaryota; Metazoa; Chordata; Mammalia; Primates; Hominidae
Description: transcribed unitary pseudogene
Source: RNAcentral